Molecule: non-coding RNA, 237 nt
Organism: Pelobates cultripes (western spadefoot toad)
Lineage: Eukaryota; Metazoa; Chordata; Amphibia; Anura; Pelobatidae
Source: the annotation of a GenBank genome assembly
AUGGGAGGGGCCCCAGUAGCAGGAGCGGGAACAUGGAGGUGCAUCCGUGCUGCAGGCUGUGUCAGGGACCUGUUACCCAGGGGUGGAGAUAGGCCAUUUUCAUCAGGGUCAUCGUCACAUGGAGCGACAUGGUCGUCCUGGUGAGAGGCAGCGCCCAGGGAAAUCGGACCGGGAACAGCCGGGGUAAUGGGAGUCUGAGGAGCAAGUGACGUGUUGUGGGAACUGCCCAGCUGUGAC